UACGUAGGUGGCAAGCGUUAUCCGGAUUUACUGGGUGUAAAGGGCGUGUAGGCGGGACUGCAAGUCAGAUGUGAAAAUUAUGGGCUCAACCCAUAACCUGCAUUUGAAACUGUAGUUCUUGAGUGAUGGAGAGGCAGGCGGAAUUCCGUGUGUAGCGGUGAAAUGCGUAGAUAUACGGAGGAACACCAGUGGCGAAGGCGGCCUGCUGGACAUUAACUGACGCCGAGGCGCGAAAGCGUGGGGAGCAAACAGG
Molecule: ribosomal RNA, 253 nt
Filed under: uncultured bacterium
Lineage: Bacteria
Description: partial 16S ribosomal RNA
Rfam family: Bacterial small subunit ribosomal RNA
Source: RNAcentral